This 312-nucleotide ribosomal RNA is filed under the name Triticum aestivum (bread wheat). Its description in RNAcentral is "partial small subunit ribosomal RNA". The record is from RNAcentral. Lineage: Eukaryota; Viridiplantae; Streptophyta; Magnoliopsida; Poales; Poaceae.
AUGGAGUUGAGAAGAUAUGACAGGACCUGCUGGUCUUUGGCGAUCCAGGGCCCGUACAGAGGGUUCGGCUCGAGGGCCGUCGUCUUGUCCGCCUUCGUGAUCUCCACAGUCUUGGGUGGAGCGGCGUCAGAGUUGUCCAGGAGCCCGGUUACCUGCGCACCUCGCAGGGCUGGGAGCACCUGGGUCUUCCAGAGGAUGAAGUUUCCUCUUGCUAGCUUCUCAGAUGGCGGCGAUCCGAGGUUGAGGCCGAUGCCGGAUGAAGAAGCCAUGGAGACGAUGAUAUGUGGUUCUAGGGUUUUGAUUUGUGGCUAG